UUAAUUGAAGAGUUUGAUCAUGGCUCAGAUUGAACGCUGGCGGCAGGCCUAACACAUGCAAGUCGAGCGGUAACAGGGGAAGCUUGCUUCUCGCUGACGAGCGGCGGACGGGUGAGUAAUGUAUGGGGAUCUGCCCGAUAGAGGGGGAUAACCACUGGAAACGGUGGCUAAUACCGCAUAAUCUCUUAGGAGCAAAGCAGGGGAACUUCGGUCCUUGCGCUAUCGGAUGAACCCAUAUGGGAUUAGCUAGUAGGUGAGGUAAUGGCUCACCUAGGCGACGAUCCCUAGCUGGUCUGAGAGGAUGAUCAGCCACACUGGGACUGAGACACGGCCCAGACUCCUACGGGAGGCAGCAGCGGGGAAUAUUG
This 368-nucleotide ribosomal RNA is filed under the name Providencia rettgeri. RNAcentral describes it as "bacterial SSU rRNA". It matches the Rfam family "Bacterial small subunit ribosomal RNA", at positions 1 to 366 of the family's 1533-position model. Lineage: Bacteria; Pseudomonadati; Pseudomonadota; Gammaproteobacteria; Enterobacterales; Morganellaceae. The record is from RNAcentral.